This is a long non-coding RNA of Tetranychus urticae (two-spotted spider mite), 2007 nucleotides long. RefSeq lists it as uncharacterized. The record is from RefSeq and is a predicted model, not a curated record. NCBI's taxonomy places the organism in Eukaryota, Metazoa, Arthropoda, Arachnida, Trombidiformes, Tetranychidae.
AAUGAAACGUUAGAUGGCGAUCUAUUUGCUUCAAUGUAUAUUUUAAAUUGGCUUUUUAUUGUACAGUGAAUUCCGACUUAUUUUGACAAAAAAAUCAGCGCCAUCUUGCGGUUUUUUAGUUGGAAUUUCGCUGCAAUGAUCAAAGAACUUAUCGAAUGAUUUUCUAUUUAAGGCUGAUUAUGAUUAGUUCAUCCUCUCUUGAGUGAAAACUCACAAAUAAACAAUUAUCAUCGAUAAAAAAGAUCAAAAAUUCGACAACAAAAUAUUGCGAUCUCUUAGUUGCCAACUGAUUUCAUCUAGAUGGCGCUGAUUUUUUUGUCAAAAUAAGUCGGAAUUCACUGUAAGUUAACAAAAAAUUUAAGCGUUAAUUGAUUGUUUUUUAACCAGCCUUGGCUAUUUUAAUUAUUUUUAUAAUUUAUCGAUUUUAAAUCUAACUAAUCAUCUCAUCUUAAUCUCAACAAUCGAUGCUGAUGGUGCUGUUGAUUGUUAUCAAGGAUCACGAGAGAAAGCUGGAUGUCGCGAUUUUCAAACCUUGUUCAGUCUUUCGUCAAAUUUUAUGCCUUUCUAGUGACAGUACUUAUUAUCAAGUGCAAAAAUGUUGAUUAAUUUAAUCUGAUGCGUCAAAUCUGUUGUUUUGAUUGCUUGGGUGAUUAAAAACAAAUCAGCAAGGUGAAGAAGCUCUUGUAAAAGUGUUACAUGUGCUUUUUUGGCUAUCUUCCUGGAUCCUUCAAAUCCUCUACAGUUGUUCAUUUUUAACGGAAAUCCCAUUCACUUCGAUACCCAUUCAGUACCCAACUGAUCUGAUAAUUGCUGAUAUCAAUGUAUUUCGAGUGACAUUUAUUCUCUGUUUUACGCUCACAUCUGCAUGUAUUCACAAUCAGGAAAAUUCUGUGGUUUCAAAUUCUUACCGAGAGAUGAAUAUGGUACAGGAUCACUUGUUGGUGUUGUUGGGAUGAAAUAUGAAGGUGCUGAUGAUGCUCCAUAACUUGGAUGCAUGGUGGGAAUACCAAACGGCGAUCCAAAUCCAGUUUGGAUUUGUUGACUUCCCACUUGCUUUCUCCACCGAGCACGUCGAUUACUAAACCAUACCUGGACAAAAAGAAACAAAGCCAAUUAGAACUAUUAAUGAACAAUGGAAAGGAGGAAUCCAAUUGGAGGAAUUGGCGGAUUAAAUCAACAAUCAAGUUUCCUGACAAAUGGAAAGCAAAAAUGAAAGGCAAAUAAUUCUGCGGGUUUUCAAGUAUUGAACUAAUUUCCAAGCAAGCCCGAUAACCUCAAACAAUCAUUCAACAACAAGCUGACAAACAAGGAUAUUUACAACUGUAACUCUUUCAAAGACAGAAAUGUAAUUUCUGGACAAAUUCAAUCCAAAAAUGUCAUUCAUUUUACAAGAUUGAAACAAGGCUUUCUAAUGAUAAUGAAGGAUCUAUUGAACAGUGGCAACACAUUAGUUUAAAUACAAGACCUCCCAGACAAACAACAACAAAACAACCCAAAUCAUGGUAAAAGGUAGACACAAAAAAACCACUAAACACCAAAGUUUUUUUGGUGUUUUUCAGUUUGGUUAAUAUUUUUACUGUUCAUGAUGCCAAUUGAAACAUUAAAUGUUCAAUUAGCGGUAAAUUUUUGGCAUUUUUGGAUUAAUAAGCCAAGCCGGAGCUUCAAGUGGAAGACUGUUCAACUCAAAAAAUGCAAUGUUUGGUCCAAGUCAAUGUUUUCACAGAUUGAGGUAAAUUUAAACUCACAAAUUUUCAAGACAUUAUCUUGAAUUAUCAGGAAUACGAAUUGACCAAACUGAGCAAUUAAACUGUAUUUGAUCCUAAUGAACGUUUACUUUUAGCUAACCUUCAACAGUACUUUCAGGUUAUAAUCAAGAUUGUACUUUUUCUUGUAACUAUUUUGCUCAUUUUUACAUGAAUUUGGAUAAAAUUGGCUGAAAAAUUCACACAACACAUGAUUACUAAACCUUUUGAAUGUUUUCCCAUUAAAAAAUGACUUUCCAUCUUA